Molecule: ribosomal RNA, 319 nt
Filed under: Arthrinium urticae
Lineage: Eukaryota; Fungi; Ascomycota; Sordariomycetes; Amphisphaeriales; Apiosporaceae
Description: eukaryotic LSU rRNA
Rfam family: Eukaryotic large subunit ribosomal RNA
Source: RNAcentral
AGACCGAUAGCGAACAAGUAGAGUGAUCGAAAGAUGAAAAGUACUUUGAAAAGAGGGUUAAAUAGCACGUGAAAUUGUUGAAAGGGAAGCGUUUAUGACCAGACUUUUUCUAGGAGGAUCAUCCGGUGUUCUCACCGGUGCACUUUUCCUAGUGAAGGCCAGCAUCGGUUUCUGUAGAGGGAUAAAAUUAGUAGGAAUGUGGCUCCCUCGGGAGUGUUAUAGCCUGCUAAAUAAUACCUUUACGGGGACCGAGGUUCGCGCAUCUGCAAGGAUGCUGGCGUAAUGGUCAUCAACGACCCGUCUUGAAACACGGACCAAG